This 254-nucleotide long non-coding RNA is filed under the name Pan troglodytes (chimpanzee). RNAcentral describes it as "long non-coding RNA NONPTRT006879". Lineage: Eukaryota; Metazoa; Chordata; Mammalia; Primates; Hominidae. The record is from RNAcentral.
CCGGCCACUCCUUCUUGAGCCCUGACUGAAAAAUGCACUGUUGUGCUGGUGCCUUAAGUGCAUUUGGGGUCGGCCUUUUGGCCCAUCUCUCAUGGGAAUGAGGAUUCUGUGGUCAAAUACAUUGGGCAGAUGCUGCCUACUUCAUCCCCCUUACUGAGAGUCGAGGAGCAGCCCAUCAGCACAUUAAAGGCUCUGGUAAGUCCUACAGUAAAGAAAUUGGUUUAACAAUGUUUUCCAGUGUGAUCUGACCACAG